RNAcentral lists this ribosomal RNA (253 nucleotides) under uncultured bacterium. Its description in RNAcentral is "partial 16S ribosomal RNA". It matches the Rfam family "Bacterial small subunit ribosomal RNA", at positions 524 to 776 of the family's 1533-position model. The record is from RNAcentral.
UACGGAGGGUGCAAGCGUUAAUCGGAAUUACUGGGCGUAAAGCGCGCGUAGGCGGUUUUUUAAGUCGGAUGUGAAAGCCCCGGGCUCAACCUGGGAACUGCAUCCGAUACUGGAAGACUAGAAUGCGGGAGAGGGAGGUAGAAUUCCAUGUGUAGCAGUGAAAUGCGUAGAUAUAUGGAGGAAUACCAGUGGCGAAGGCGGCCUCCUGGCUCGACAUUGACGCUAAGGUGCGAAAGCGUGGGGAGCAAACGGG